AAAGUUAGUAUAAAAUUAUAUGGAACUAGACAAAUAUACUAUUAAUAGCACAAAGUCAUUGGUGCUACCAAGUUUUUGGCCAUUGGAUUAAGAGAUGUACGGUUAGAAUGAUAUAGACCUCCUAGGGUUAAGUGGGUGGUUGGUUGAAUAGUAUGAUCUAACGGAUGAAAGUGAUCAAAAGGAUAGAUCUAAUGGUGGAAAAUUUGGUAGCACCAAAUGUUUCGUACUAUUAAUAGCAUAGUAGCCGAACUCAAAUUACAUGUUCAUUAACUCAUUGCAUGAUAUAAUAAUUCUUGUUUGGAACUAGGAGAGAGAGAGAGAGAGAGAGAGUAGGAAGCAGCUUAAGUUUGUCAUAAAAGUCAGGAAAAAGUUACUAAAAUUUUUGGAACAGAGGAAACUUAAUUGUUUAAAAUAUUAAACACAUUAAAGAGUUCAAAAAUUGUUAUAACUAUGUGAACCUUAAAUAAACAGUACGUUCGUAAAUUGAAUUUACUGAGCACCACAUAAAUCUAGUCACGGCACUGCGGUCCCCUCUCAUCACAAUCAAUAAAAAGGACGCAGAGAGGAAUAUUUUUGCAGUCCCAAUUAGGACAUCUGAGCAGGAACUGUGCAAUUUUUUCCUUAGAUGCUAGGGAUAUGUAGAUGUUUUUUUAACACUUUUGGAACAAAAAGUGAGCAUGUUGGGAACUUUAAACACAUGAAAAGCAGGGAGAGAGAGAGAGAGAGAGAGAAAGAGAAAGAGAAAGAGGGGGAGAAAAUGUAAUGGUGUAUUUUCUUGGGAAUAUAUAUAUAUAUAUAUAUUAAAUUUCUUANCCCUUUAAUUUUAGCUUUAUCAUUAAUUUAACGAAAAAAAAUUAGUGGAAUCAAUAAUAAAAACAUAAAAAUGAAACCAAAGAGUACUAAAUUGAUACACUUUAAACCAUAAAAUACUAAAGUAAGAAAGUAUGAAACCACAGGAAUAAUAUUUAAAGUUUUUUCUUUAAUUUUUGAGUGAUUGAAGUGUUUUUAUUUUAUGAUGGUCAGAACUAAACGGGCCCUCAGAGUAAUGCUAAAUGUACACCCCUAUUAUAGGUAUAAAUCUUUGCACUCCUCUUAUCCAGGACUUUAAUUUUCUACUCGUCAUAUAAAAAAAAACUAAAAAAUUUAAAAAAUUUGUGAAUCUUUGGAUACUUGAGGUGUAAUAUUUUCAUCUAGCUAUAGAUGUACAUAUAGCAUUUUUUUAUCUCUUAUUUAACACAUUCCUUGUACGUAUUUAUAUCUUUUAUCACCCAUACAUAUAAUGAAUUGUGAAAUAAACGGGCUCACAGUAGAGACUUUUCUGGCCAAUUUUUUUUCUCAUGUCCCAUUCUCUGUAGCUGCGGAGUUAAAGGGGUCAUUUAAGUUAACUUACAAAAGUUAGUAUAAAAUUACAUGGAACUAGACUAAUAUACUAUUAAUAGCACAAAGUCAUUGGUGCUAUCAAAUUUUUAACUAUUAGAUUAAAAGAUGUGCGGUUAGGAUGAUAUAGACUCUCUAGGAUUAAGUGGGUGGUUGGUUGAAUAGUAUGAUCUAACGGGUGAAAGUGAUCAAAAGAAUAAAUCUAACAGUAAAAAACUUAAUAACAUAAAGUAUUUCGUACUAUUAAUAGCAUAGUAGCCGAACUCAAAUUACAUAUUCAUUAACUCAUUGCAUGAUAUAAU
Molecule: long non-coding RNA, 1679 nt
Filed under: Ananas comosus (pineapple)
Lineage: Eukaryota; Viridiplantae; Streptophyta; Magnoliopsida; Poales; Bromeliaceae
Description: long non-coding RNA (ACOM_LNC004208)
Source: RNAcentral